This 492-nucleotide ribosomal RNA is filed under the name uncultured bacterium. RNAcentral's name for it is "partial 16S ribosomal RNA". It matches the Rfam family "Bacterial small subunit ribosomal RNA", at positions 29 to 507 of the family's 1533-position model. The record is from RNAcentral.
AGUGAACGCUGGCGGUAGGCCUAACACAUGCAAGUCGAACGGCAGCACAGUAAGAGCUUGCUCUUACGGGUGGCGAGUGGCGGACGGGUGAGGAAUACAUCGGAAUCUACUUUUUCGUGGGGGAUAACGUAGGGAAACUUACGCUAAUACCGCAUACGACCUACGGGUGAAAGCAGGGGAUCUUCGGACCUUGCGCGAUUGAAUGAGCCGAUGUCGGAUUAGCUAGUUGGCGGGGUAAAGGCCCACCAAGGCGAAGAUCCGUAGCUGGUCUGAGAGGAUGAUCAGCCACACUGGAACUGAGACACGGUCCAGACUCCUACGGGAGGCAGCAGUGGGGAAUAUUGGACAAAGGGCGCAAGCCUGAUCCAGCCAUACCGCGUGGGUGAAGAAGGCCUUCGGGUUGUAAAGCCCUUUUGUUGGGAAAGAAAAGCAGCAGGUUAAUACCCCGCUGUUCUGACGGUACCCAAAGAAUAAGCACCGGCUAACUUCGUG